AGAGUUUGAUCCUGGCUCAGGACGAACGCUGGCGGCACGCUUAACACAUGCAAGUCGAACGAGAGAAGAGGAGCUUGCUUUUCUGAUCUAGUGGCGGACGGGUGAGUAACACGUGAGCAAUCUGCCUUUCAGAGGGGGAUACCGAUUGGAAACGAUCGUUAAUACCGCAUAACAUAAUUGAACCGCAUGAUUUGAUUAUCAAAGAUUUAUCGCUGAAAGAUGAGCUCGCGUCUGAUUAGCUAGUUGGUAAGGUAACGGCUUACCAAGGCGACGAUCAGUAGCCGGACUGAGAGGUUGAUCGGCCACAUUGGGACUGAGACACGGCCCAGACUCCUACGGGAGGCAGCAGUGGGGAAUAUUGCACAAUGGAGGAAACUCUGAUGCAGCGAUGCCGCGUGAGGGAAGAAGGUUUUAGGAUUGUAAACCUCUGUCUUCAGGGACGAAAAAAGACGGUACCUGAGGAGGAAGCUCCGGCUAACUACGUGCCAGCAGCCGCGGUAAUACGUAGGGAGCGAGCGUUGUCCGGAAUUACUGGGUGUAAAGGGAGCGUAGGCGGGAUCGCAAGUCAGAUGUGAAAACUAUGGGCUUAACCCAUAAACUGCAUUUGAAACUGUGGUUCUUGAGUGAAGUAGAGGUAAGCGGAAUUCCUAGUGUAGCGGUGAAAUGCGUAGAUAUUAGGAGGAACAUCAGUGGCGAAGGCGGCUUACUGGGCUUUAACUGACGCUGAGGCUCGAAAGCGUGGGGAGCAAACAGGAUUAGAUACCCUGGUAGUCCACGCCGUAAACGAUGAUUACUAGGUGUGGGGGGACUGACCCCUUCCGUGCCGCAGCAAACGCAAUAAGUAAUCCACCUGGGGAGUACGACCGCAAGGUUGAAACUCAAAGGAAUUGACGGGGGCCCGCACAAGCAGUGGAGUAUGUGGAUUAAUUCGAAGCAACGCGAAGAACCUUACCAGGUCUUGACAUCGUAUGCAUAGCUCAGAGAUGAGUGAAAUCUCUUCGGAGACAUAUAGACAGGUGGUGCAUGGUUGUCGUCAGCUCGUGUCGUGAGAUGUUGGGUUAAGUCCCGCAACGAGCGCAACCCUUACUGUUAGUUGCUACGCAAGAGCACUCUAGCAGGACUGCCGUUGACAAAACGGAGGAAGGUGGGGAUGACGUCAAUCAUCAUGCCCCUUAUGACCUGGGCCUCACACGUACUACAAUGGCUGUCAACAGAGGGAAGCAAAGCCGCGAGGUGGAGCGAACCCCUAAAAGCAGUCUUAGUUCGGAUUGUAGGCUGCAACCCGCCUACAUGAAGUCGGAAUUGCUAGUAAUCGCAGAUCAGCAUGCUGCGGUGAAUACGUUCCCGGGCCUUGUACACACCGCCCGUCACGCCAUGGGAGUCGGUAACACCCGAAGCCUGUAGUCUAACCGCAAGGAGGACGCAGUCGAAGGUGGGAUUGAUGACUGGGGUGAAGUCGUAACAAGGUA
RNAcentral lists this ribosomal RNA (1469 nucleotides) under metagenome. RNAcentral's name for it is "bacterial SSU rRNA". It matches the Rfam family "Bacterial small subunit ribosomal RNA". The record is from RNAcentral.